RNAcentral lists this ribosomal RNA (484 nucleotides) under uncultured bacterium. Its description in RNAcentral is "partial 16S ribosomal RNA". It matches the Rfam family "Bacterial small subunit ribosomal RNA", at positions 30 to 507 of the family's 1533-position model. The record is from RNAcentral.
AUUGAACGCUGGCGGCAGGCCUAACACAUGCAAGUCGAGCGGAUGAAGGGUGCUUGCUCCUGGAUUCAGCGGCGGACGGGUGAGUAAGGCCUAGGAAUCUGCCUGGCAGUUGGUGCUAACGUCCUGAAACGGGCACUAUUACCCUAUUCGCCCUGACGAAGUAAGUGGGAGAUCUUCGGACCUCCCGCCAUCAGAUGAGCCGAUGUCGGAUUAGCUAGUUGGUGGGGUAAAGGCCUACCAAGGCGACGAUCCGUAGCUGGUCUGAGAGGAUGAUCAGUCACACUGGAACUGAGACACGGUCCAGACUCCUACGGGAGGCAGCAGUGGGGAAUAUUGGACAAUGGGCGAAAGCCUGAUCCAGCCAUGCCGCGUGGGUGAAGAAGGUCUUCGGAUUGUAAAGCACUUUUAGUGGGGAGGAAAAGCAGUAAGUUAAUACCUUGCUGUUUUGACGGUACCAACAGAAUAAGCACCGGCUAACUUCGUG